This is a long non-coding RNA of Episyrphus balteatus (marmalade hoverfly), 723 nucleotides long. RefSeq lists it as uncharacterized. The transcript has 3 exons. The record is from RefSeq and is a predicted model, not a curated record. Lineage: Eukaryota; Metazoa; Arthropoda; Insecta; Diptera; Syrphidae.
AGAGUGAGCUUAAAUUCGAGACAGAGAAUGAGAUGUAUGUGGUGAAGGUUUGAGGAGAGAUUUGCUGAAGUCUAUCUUGGGAUAAAUUCUGUUUUUCAACACGUACGGAGUUUGUGAACUUUUCUAGACCUUCAUUAGGUGCCUAAAAAUACGUGACUGAUAUCCUUGAACAGCAUGCGGUGUCAUUUAGCCUAAGCAUUGGUCCACGAAGUCAUAGUUCUAAAGUGGUUUUAGAAUAUAUUCAAGACGUUUGCAUACCAACACCUAGAAAUCCAGAUUUAAAUUCAAUUGAACAUGUCUGGAGAGUACUGAAGAGACGCGUUCGCGACCAAAAUCCUCCUCCAAGCAGGCAGUCUUGAUUAGCUAGAAACUGCAGUGAAAGAUGAGUCAGAGAGUAUUUAACAACAAGAUUCCAAAACUUAAUUCGUGGAUUGAACAGACGACUCCAAAUUUGUAUAUGUGUUAGAGGAGGCAAUACCAAUGUUAAGCAUUUUUGUGUCUUCCUAAAAAAUAAGCAAACACACAAAAAUACGCACAAGAAUUUUAAACCCAUUUAAGAUACAAGGGUUUAACUACAAACUUAAAGAGGUGUGAGUCAAUUAUGAGCGGGAGUGUAUCGAAAGAGCUUGUAAGGAUCGCAUAAGAUAUUUCUGUAUGAACACAACAAUUAAACUACCUUGGCACCACUGUUUUUAUCGAGAGAAAAUAAAAUCUGGAUAAUUA